This 494-nucleotide ribosomal RNA is filed under the name uncultured bacterium. RNAcentral's name for it is "partial 16S ribosomal RNA". It matches the Rfam family "Bacterial small subunit ribosomal RNA", at positions 28 to 507 of the family's 1533-position model. The record is from RNAcentral.
GACGAACGCUGGCGGCGUGCUUAACACAUGCAAGUCGAACGGUGAAGCGCCUUCCUUUUUGGUGGGUGUGGAUGAGUGGCGAACGGGUGAGUAACACGUGAGUAACCUGCCCCCUUCUUCUGGAUAACCGCAUGAAAGUGUUGCUAAUACGGGAUAUUCUGGGUCUGUCGCAUGAUGGGUCUGGGAAAGAUAUUGUUUCGGUGGGGGAUGGGCUCGCGGCCUAUCAGCUUGUUGGUGGGGUGAUGGCCUACCAAGGCGGUGACGGGUAGCCGGCCUGAGAGGGUGGACGGUCACACUGGGACUGAGACACGGCGCAGACUCCUACGGGAGGCAGCAGUGGGGAAUAUUGCACAAUGGGCGCAAGCCUGAUGCAGCGACGCCGCGGGAGGGAUGGAGGCCUUCGGGUUGUGAACCUCUUUCACCAGUGAAGCAGGCCUGCCUCGUCUGUGGGUGGGUUGACGGUAGCUGGAUAAGAAGCGCCGGCUAACUACGUG